RNAcentral lists this ribosomal RNA (641 nucleotides) under Sirophysalis trinodis. RNAcentral describes it as "eukaryotic LSU rRNA". Lineage: Eukaryota; Phaeophyceae; Fucales; Sargassaceae. The record is from RNAcentral.
CGAAAACUCGCCCACAGCCUUGGGGUCGAUCUCGACCUCGAGGCGGUGGAGCGGAAUCUGAGUGUUCCGGGGAGCGGUGGUGCGGUGUGUAUUUUCUUGUACAUACUGCCUGUUCGUCCCCUGAGUUCACCCAAGCCUAGAGAGCUACCUAUUGUCCGGGCUUCUGUUCUCUUUGCGGCGUUGUUGACAGGUUCACCUUGCGUCCUCCGGAGGAUCCGUUGUUGGCGUCGCCCCCUCUCGCGGGGCGGGGACACGGCGGGUCGCCGGGGAUGUGCGCGGGUGACCUUGAGGCGUCGCUGGAGGCAGGUUCACCUUGCGUCCUCCGGAGGAUCCGUUGUUGACGUCGCCCCCUUCUCGCGGGGCGGGGACACGACGGGUCGCCGGGGAUGUGCGCGGGUGAUCUUGAGGCGUCGCUGGAGGCAGGUUCGCCUUGCGUCCUCCGGAGGAUCCGUUGUUGACGGCGCCCCCUUCUCGCGGGGCGGGGACACGACGGGUCGCCGGGGAUGUGCGCGGGUGAUCUUGAGGCGUCGCUGGAGGCCCGUGGACGGUAGGCAGUCUCGAGAGUGCCGGUGAGAGGCCGGUGAUAAUGAUGAUGCCAUACCCCCGAUCAAGCAAGAAGACCCGCUGAAUUUAAGCAUAUA